GUGAGGAAUUUUCCGCAAUGGGCGAAAGCCUGACGGAGCAAUGCCGCGUGAAGGAUGAAGGCCUAUGGGUUGUAAACUUCUUUUCUCAGAAAAGAAUUAUGACGGUAUCUGAGGAAUAAGCAUCGGCUAACUCUGUGCCAGCAGCCGCGGUAAGACAGCGGAUGCAAGCGUUAUCCGGAAUGAUUGGGCGUAAAGCGUCUGUAGGUUGUUUAAAAAGUAUUCUGUCAAAGAUUAGGGCUUAACCCUAGAUAGGCAGAAUAAACUUUUAAGCUAGAGUUUGGUAGAGGCAGAGGGAAUUCCCGGUGGAGCGGUGAAAUGCGUAGAUAUCGGGAGGAACACCAAAGGCGAAGGCACUCUGCUGGGCCAAUACUAACACUGAGAGACGAAAGCGAGGGGAGCAAAUGGGAUUAGAUACCCCGGUAGUCC
Molecule: ribosomal RNA, 426 nt
Filed under: uncultured bacterium
Lineage: Bacteria
Description: partial 16S ribosomal RNA
Rfam family: Bacterial small subunit ribosomal RNA
Source: RNAcentral